This 1437-nucleotide ribosomal RNA is filed under the name Triticum aestivum (bread wheat). Its description in RNAcentral is "partial small subunit ribosomal RNA". The record is from RNAcentral. Lineage: Eukaryota; Viridiplantae; Streptophyta; Magnoliopsida; Poales; Poaceae.
AUGGAGGACGUCCUGGACUCGGCGGUGGGGGCCCACUUCAGCGGCCUCCGCCGCGACUCGCGCCGCCUCUCCUCCUCCCUCCCCUCCUCGCCCUCCUCCGCCACCUGCAACGGCGCGGCCGACGCCUCCGCGGCCGCGCCCAGCGGGCUCGCGUCCCCCACGCCCAGGCAGCCGUUCGUCAUCGGGGUGUGCGGCGGAACGGCGUCGGGGAAGACGACGGUGUGCGACAUGAUCAUCCAGCAGCUCCACGACCACCGCGUCCUGCUCGUCAGCCAGGAUUCGUUCUACCGCGGUUUAACUGAGGAGGAAUCUGAACAUGUGGAAGAGUACAACUUUGAUCACCCUGAUGCAUUUGAUACUGAUCAGCUUCUGGAGUGCAUGGGAAAGCUAAAGAGUGGACAGUCUGUUAAUAUUCCUAUAUAUGAUUUCAAGAAUCAUCGACGAUGCUCUGAGAGCUUUAGAAAGGUCAAUGUAUCAGAUGUCAUCAUUCUGGAGGGCAUUUUGGUUUUUCAUGAUCAAAGGGUGCGUGACUUGAUGGACAUGAAAAUUUUCGUUGACACAGAUGCUGAUAUUAGGCUUGCCCGAAGAAUAAGGCGUGAUACAGUUGAAAGAGGUAGAGAUGUUCUCUCAGUGCUUGAGCAGUACGGGAGGUUUGUGAAGCCCGCCUUUGAUGAUUUUAUCCUGCCUUCCAAGAAGUAUGCUGAUGUGAUCAUACCACGAGGAGGAGAUAACCAUGUUGCCAUUGAUUUAAUUGCGCAACAUAUUCGUACAAAACUUGGACAACAUGACUUGUGCAAAUUAUAUCCAAAUGUUUGUGUAGUUCAGACAACUUUCCAGAUACGGGGAAUGCAUACCCUCAUUCGUGACCGGGAAAUUACGACUCCUGAUUUUGUCUUCUAUUCAGAUCGGCUGAUUCGUCUGGUAGUUGAGCAUGGUCUGGGGAAUUUGCCAUUUACAGAGAAGCAGGUCGUUACACCUACAGGAUCUAUUUAUUCAGGAGUUGACUUCUGCAAGAAGCUCUGUGGAGUGUCGAUUGUUCGAAGUGGUGAAAGCAUGGAGAAUGCUCUGCGUGCUUGUUGUAAGGGGAUAAAAAUAGGUAAAAUCCUAAUACAUCGUGUUGGAGACAACGGACAACAACUCAUAUACCACAAGCUGCCCGAGGAUAUUGCUCAACGUCAUGUUCUACUUAUGGAUCCUGUGCUCGGUACAGGUAACUCAGCAAAUCAAGCUAUACAGCUUCUUAGAAGUACAGGAGUUCCAGAGGACCACAUCAUGUUUCUUAAUCUUAUCUCGGCUCCUGAAGGAAUCCAUUGUGUCUGCAAGCGAUUCCCUGGUGUGAAGAUCGUAACAUCGGAGAUCGACGCCGGGUUGAACGAGGAAUACCGUGUCGUGCCAGGGCUGGGUGAAUACGGCGAUCGCUACUUCGGCACUGACUAA